GACGAACGCUGGCGGCGUGCCUAAUACAUGCAAGUCGAACGAAGCUUUUUUAACUGGUGCUUGCACCGACUUAAACAACUGAGUGGCGAACGGGUGAGUAACACGUGGGUAACCUGCCCCAAUGCGGGGGAUAACAUUUGGAAACAGAUGCUAAUACCGCAUAACCACAUGGUUUCUGUGUCAAAGAUGGUUUCGGCUAUCACUUUGGGAUGGCCCCGCGGCGUAUUAGCUAGUUGGUAAGGUAAUGGCUUACCAAGGCAAUGAUACGUAGCCGAACUGUGAGGUUGAUCGGCCACAUUGGGACUGAGACACGGCACAAACUCCUACGGGAGGCAGCAGUAGGGAAUCUUCCACAAUGGACGAAAGUCUGAUGGAGCAACGCCGCGUGAGUGAAGAAGGUUUUCGGAUCGUAAAACUCUGUUGUCAGAGAAGAGCGUGUGCGAGAGUAACUGUUCGUGCAGUGACGGUAUCUGGCCAGAAAGCCACGGCUAACUACGUGCCAGCCGCCGCCGUAA
Molecule: ribosomal RNA, 515 nt
Filed under: uncultured bacterium
Lineage: Bacteria
Description: partial 16S ribosomal RNA
Rfam family: Bacterial small subunit ribosomal RNA
Source: RNAcentral